This 228-nucleotide ribosomal RNA is filed under the name uncultured bacterium. Its description in RNAcentral is "partial 16S ribosomal RNA". It matches the Rfam family "Bacterial small subunit ribosomal RNA", at positions 103 to 334 of the family's 1533-position model. The record is from RNAcentral.
CGGGUGAGUAAUGUCUGGGAAACUGCCCGAUGGAGGGGGAUAACUACUGGAAACGGUAGCUAAUACCGCAUAACGUCGCAAGACCAAAGAGGGGGACCUUCGGGCCUCUUGCCAUCGGAUGUGCCCAGAUGGGAUUAGCUAGUAGGUGGGGUAAUGGCUCACCUAGGCGACGAUCCCUAGCUGGUCUGAGAGGAUGACCAGCCACACUGGAACUGAGACACGGUCCAG